RNAcentral lists this ribosomal RNA (944 nucleotides) under uncultured bacterium. RNAcentral's name for it is "bacterial SSU rRNA". It matches the Rfam family "Bacterial small subunit ribosomal RNA", at positions 1 to 927 of the family's 1533-position model. The record is from RNAcentral.
GCAGAAUUCGCCCUUAGAGUUUGAUCCUGGCUCAGGAUGAACGCUAGCUACAGGCUUAACACAUGCAAGUCGAGGGGAAACGACAUCGAAAGCUUGCUUUUGAUGGGCGUCGACCGGCGCACGGGUGAGUAACGCGUAUCCAACCUGCCCACCACUUGGGGAUAACCUUGCGAAGGUAAGACUAAUACCCAAUGAUAUCUCUAGAAGACAUCUGAAAGAGAUUAAAGAUUUAUCGGUGAUGGAUGGGGAUGCGUCUGAUUAGCUUGUUGGCGGGGUAACGGCCCACCAAGGCAACGAUCAGUAGGGGUUCUGAGAGGAAGGUCCCCCACAUUGGAACUGAGACACGGUCCAAACUCCUACGGGAGGCAGCAGUGAGGAAUAUUGGUCAAUGGACGAGAGUCUGAACCAGCCAAGUAGCGUGCAGGAUGACGGCCCUAUGGGUUGUAAACUGCUUUUAUAAGGGAAUAAAGUGAGUCUCGUGAGAUUUUUUGCAUGUACCUUAUGAAUAAGGACCGGCUAAUUCCGUGCCAGCAGCCGCGGUAAUACGGAAGGUCCGGGCGUUAUCCGGAUUUAUUGGGUUUAAAGGGAGCGUAGGCCGGAGAUUAAGCGUGUUGUGAAAUGUAGAUGCUCAACAUCUGCACUGCAGCGCGAACUGGUUUCCUUGAGUACGCACAAAGUGGGCGGAAUUCGUGGUGUAGCGGUGAAAUGCUUAGAUAUCACGAAGAACUCCGAUCGCGAAGGCAGCUCACUGGAGCGCAACUGACGCUGAAGCUCGAAAGUGCGGGUAUCGAACAGGAUUAGAUACCCUGGUAGUCCGCACGGUAAACGAUGGAUGCCCGCUGUUGGUCUGAAUAGGUCAGCGGCCAAGCGAAAGCAUUAAGCAUCCCACCUGGGGAGUACGCCGGCAACGGUGAAACUCAAAGGAAUUGACGGAAGGGCGAAUU